Molecule: ribosomal RNA, 278 nt
Filed under: uncultured bacterium
Lineage: Bacteria
Description: partial 16S ribosomal RNA
Rfam family: Bacterial small subunit ribosomal RNA
Source: RNAcentral
UCUUCUCCGCCGGCGACCGGCGCACGGGUGAGUAACACGUAUGCAACCUCGCCCCUGUCGAGGGGGACAACCCGCCGAAGGGCGGGCUAAACCCGCGUACAUGCCACCGGGGCAUCCCGGAGGCAGGAAAGGCUUCGGCCGGACAGGGAUGGGCAUGCGGCGCAUUAGGCAGUAGGCGGGGUAACGGCCCACCUAACCGACGAUGCGUAGGGGUUCUGAGAGGAAGGUCCCCCACACUGGUACUGAGACACGGACCAGACUCCUACGGGAGGCAGCAG